GUGAACAGGCAAGAGCUCAGAUUUGAAAGGCACUUUUGUGCCGUUGUAUUCUGAAGUUAGGGUCCUGAGAAACGAUGCUUAAGUCUUCUGGAAAGGAGCGCCAUGGAGGGUGAUAGCCCCGUCUAGCAUUGACCUCAUAUAGGAUCUUAACAUGGAGUCGAGUUGUUUGGGAAUGCAGCUCAAAUGGGUGGUAUGCUCCAUCUAAAGCUAAAUAUCUGCGAGAGACCGAUAGUAAACAAGUACUGUGAGGGAAAGAUGAAAAGAACUUUGAAAAGAGAGUGAAAAAGUACGUGAAAUUGUUGAAAUGGAAGGGUAGGCCGCUAACCAUGUAGAGCCGUGUUUGGGGGGAAGAUAAAUGCUGUAGAAUGUAGCUCCUCGGAGUAUUAUAGAUGCAGUUCAUAUUCCCACCCGAGCGCG
This 417-nucleotide ribosomal RNA is filed under the name Starmerella stellata. RNAcentral describes it as "eukaryotic LSU rRNA". It matches the Rfam family "Eukaryotic large subunit ribosomal RNA", at positions 93 to 527 of the family's 3401-position model. The record is from RNAcentral. Lineage: Eukaryota; Fungi; Ascomycota; Dipodascomycetes; Dipodascales; Trichomonascaceae.